CUCAAGGUUAAUAUAACUCGUGGACAACACUGUUCGGUCAACGAUGGUGAAAGGCAGCCUCGUGUAGAGGUUCCUAAGGCAAAGGGUGGCUACUUUGAAUAAUCCCAAUAUAAAAUAUAUUUUGAUUUGUCUAGAACUUUUUUGGUUACUACAUGAUUCCAUGUGUGUUAUUUCAUAGCAUUGAUGUCUUUACUAUUAUUCUACAAUGUAGAAGAGUAAAAAAUUAAGAAAAACCCUUGAAUGAGUAGGUGUUUCCAAGCUUUUGACUGGUACUGUAUAUACAAUACCUUUGUUGUUCUGUCCUUUUAAACAUGUCUGAAGUAGGAUAAAUAAUGUAUUUAACAUAUGACACAGAAAACACAGACUUUGAUUGGCAUCUGAACCAGGAUGACUCAUGUUUGACUCACACACACCGUGGGACUGAGGAUGCUCUGAAAUACAUGUUGGUGGACUCCCUGUCAGGAUGACCCAAUACACCCAACGAGAUGGACCUGAUGGUUAGAGGUCUUCAGAAGAAAAAGCAGGAAGAUGAGCGGAAAAGCCAAACUUGAGUGUAUGCAACAAAACCCUUUUCAGCUAUGGUCCAAGCGUAACCAGAUUUAAGCAUUUCUGACAGUGAAGAGACAUUUACACAUUUAUCCCUCUUAUAGAUCAAGAUGUUAAGUCAUCAAUAUGCCAGAUUAAGACUACAGAUAAAACAGGAUUAGUUGUGAUAAUCCAGGAGCGUAAUUUAGCCCUGCCCGGUGCCUCAGGCUUUAGACCGUGUAUCUGCUGUUUGUUAACUAGAGAUGCUUUGGACCAUGGCCAGAUAAUUAAUCACUGAGUGACUGCAGUGAUUCUUACUAUACCACUACUACUGUUCUAGUCAGUCAAAAGCUGUAAACCUGCAGCUUCAGGAGUAGACACAACAGCAUUGAAAAACAGCAUUGAUUCAUUAUGAUUGUCAUCCACUGUCAUUAUUUACAAAGUCAACAUUGUUUUAUGUUUUUUAUCAAAUCAUUAGUUGCUGUAAUCUGAUUGUAAGAAGCCUCAGAAAGUUAUUGGAUGAUUUAUAUUUAGGACUACUACAUCAUAGAAAAUAGUUUAUGGUUUUGGACAAGAGCCCAAAGAUUUCCAUAGAAAAUUACAGUGUUGUUUAUUGCUUAUGUAUCAAUACAUGUUUUAUUUUUCAUGUUGAA
Oncorhynchus masou masou (cherry salmon) is the source of this 1178-nucleotide long non-coding RNA. RefSeq lists it as uncharacterized. The transcript is spliced from 2 exons. NCBI's taxonomy places the organism in Eukaryota, Metazoa, Chordata, Actinopteri, Salmoniformes, Salmonidae. The record is from RefSeq and is a predicted model, not a curated record.